Molecule: ribosomal RNA, 241 nt
Filed under: uncultured Acidobacteriaceae bacterium
Lineage: Bacteria; Pseudomonadati; Acidobacteriota; Terriglobia; Terriglobales; Acidobacteriaceae
Description: partial 16S ribosomal RNA
Rfam family: Bacterial small subunit ribosomal RNA
Source: RNAcentral
GGGUGGUAGAAUUCCACGUGUAGCGGUGAAAUGCGUAGAGAUGUGGAGGAAUACCAGUGGCGAAGGCGGCCACCUGGACAGUAACUGACGCUGAGGCGCGAAAGUGUGGGUAGCAAACAGGAUUAGAUACCCUGGUAGUCCACGCUGUAAACGAUGAACACUUGGUGUGGCGGGAGUUGACCCCUGCCGUGCCGUAGCUAACGCGAUAAGUGUUCCGCCUGGGGAGUACGGUCGCAAGGCU